CUGAAGCGGAAGUGGAGAAAAGAUGGAGGACCAUCAGCACGUGCCCAUCGACAUCCAGACCAGCAAGCUGCUCGAUUGGCUGGUGGACAGAAGGCACUGCAGCCUGAAAUGGCAGAGUCUGGUGCUGACGAUCCGCGAGAAGAUCAAUGCUGCCAUCCAGGACAUGCCAGAGAGCGAAGAGAUCGCCCAGCUGCUGUCUGGGUCCUACAUUCACUACUUUCACUGCCUAAGAAUCCUGGACCUUCUCAAAGGCACAGAGGCCUCCACGAAGAAUAUUUUUGGCCGAUACUCUUCACAGCGGAUGAAGGAUUGGCAGGAGAUUAUAGCCCUGUAUGAGAAGGACAACACCUACUUAGGUAAAGUGGCCCGGCCUGGGAGCCCUGGUAUCCAUGGGGAAGCCCACUCUCAGAGUUCUGAGAUACCAGGCUUAUAGGAGGCACAGUCUGUGAGUGGGAAGAGACUGGAGUGUAGAUGUUGCCUGUUUGUAGGUGGUAAAAUCAAUUGUUUUUGAUGGAAUUGAUUUUCCCUGGGUGGAGUGCUGGGGGAAGGAGGAGGUCCAGGCCGGUAGUGGGCAUUCGCCGUGCCUCAGCGAGCAGGUGUGUGUGGGUCCUCCACCACUCACCUCUUGGUUAGCGGGAGUGUGCUGCCCCCACCCCCACCCCCGCAUCCCCAUUCUACACAAGGCAGAAGAGGCACGGGUUUUCCUGGGAGCGAAUAUCAAGUGCCUGAGAGAGAGCAACUACAGGACUAACUGUGUUUGGGUUGGGUGUAGUAUAAAUAAUAAUAAUGGCUAAUAUUUACUGAGCAUCUACUAAAUGCAAGGAAUUGUGCUUGGUGUGUCAUGGGGAUUCUCUCUUGCAUCUUCAUGAUAAAUGUUAUUGUCGCUGUUUUACCGAUGAGGGUUGGAUUAGAGGGGUUAAACAACUUGUCUUAGGCUCCACAGCUGGGAACAAGUGGGGCUGGGAAGCUGACUUCGUGCUCUUCACCACCACAAAGGGUGUGUGUGCAUCCUGGGGCAUGCCUGCCUCAUGUGGGGGUGUCCUGGGCUGAAUUUCCUGGGCACUUCUCAGUGGAACUCUCUAGCCUCCUGGUUCGGAAUGUCAACUAUGAGAUCCCCUCACUGAAGAAGCAGAUUGCCAAGUGCCAGCAGCUGCAACAAGAAUACAGCCGCAAGGAGGAGGAGUGCCAGGCAGGGGCUGCCGAGAUGCGGGAGCAGUUCUACCACUCCUGCAAGCAGUAUGGCAUCAUGGGCGAAAAUGUCCGAGGAGAACUGCUGGCCCUGGUGAAGGACCUGCCGAGUCAGCUGGCUGAGAUUGGGGCAGCGGCUCAGCAGUCCCUGGGGGAAGCCAUUGACGUGUACCAGGCAUCUGUGGGGUUUGUGUGUGAGAGCCCCACAGAGCAGGUGUUGCCAAUGCUGCGGUUCGUGCAGAAGCGGGGAAACUCAACGGUGUACGAGUGGAGGACAGGGACAGAGCCCUCUGUGGUGGAACGACCCCACCUCGAGGAGCUUCCUGAGCAGGUGGCAGAAGAUGCGAUUGACUGGGGCGACUUUGGGGUAGAGGCAGUGUCUGAGGGGACUGACUCUGGCAUCUCUGCUGAGGCUGCUGGAAUCGACUGGGGCAUCUUCCCGGAAUCAGAUUCAAAGGAUCCUGGAGGUGAUGGGAUAGACUGGGGAGACGAUGCUGUUGCUUUGCAGAUCACAGUGCUGGAAGCAGGAACCCAGGCUCCAGAAGGUGUUGCCAGGGGCCCAGAUGCCCUGACACUGCUUGAAUACACUGAGACCCGGAAUCAGUUCCUUGAUGAGCUCAUGGAGCUUGAGAUCUUCUUAGCCCAGAGAGCAGUGGAGUUGAGUGAGGAGGCAGAUGUCCUGUCUGUGAGCCAGUUCCAGCUGGCUCCAGCCAUCCUGCAGGGCCAGACCAAAGAGAAGAUGGUUACCAUGGUGUCAGUGCUGGAGGAUCUGAUUGGCAAGCUUACCAGUCUUCAGUUGCAACACCUGUUUAUGAUCCUGGCCUCACCAAGGUAUGUGGACCGAGUGACUGAAUUCCUCCAGCAAAAGCUGAAGCAGUCCCAGCUGCUGGCUUUGAAGAAAGAGCUGAUGGUGCAGAAGCAGCAGGAGGCACUUGAGGAGCAGGCGGCUCUGGAGCCUAAGCUGGACCUGCUACUGGAGAAGACCAAGGAGCUGCAGAAGCUGAUUGAAGCUGACAUCUCCAGGAGGUACAGUGGGCGCCCUGUGAACCUGAUGGGAACCUCUCUGUGACACCCUCCGUGUUCUUGCCUGCCCAUCUUCUCCGCUUUUGGGAUGAAGAUGAUAGCCAGGGCUGUUGUUUUGGGGCCCUUCAAGGCAAAAGACCAGGCUGACUGGAAGAUGGAAAGCCACAGGAAGGAAGCGGCACCUGAUGGUGAUCUUGGCACUCUCCGUGUUCUCUACAAGAAGCUGUGGUGAUUGGCCCUGUGGUCUAUCAGGCGAAAACCACAGAUUCUCCUUCUAGUUAGUAUAGCGGACUUAAUAAAAGAGGAAAAAAC
Molecule: small RNA, 2523 nt
Filed under: Pan troglodytes (chimpanzee)
Lineage: Eukaryota; Metazoa; Chordata; Mammalia; Primates; Hominidae
Description: retained intron
Source: RNAcentral